Cyprinus carpio (common carp) is the source of this 478-nucleotide long non-coding RNA. RefSeq lists it as uncharacterized. The record is from RefSeq and is a predicted model, not a curated record. The transcript has 3 exons. Lineage: Eukaryota; Metazoa; Chordata; Actinopteri; Cypriniformes; Cyprinidae.
CCAACUUAUAGAGGUCAGCUAUUGCCCAUUCUGGCGGACUAAAGCGCCAUUGGUUUGUGCAGCUAAACAAACGUUAACAAAUCAGGCUUCAGUACAAGGAUAAACAGAAGUUGUUCCCGUAUGCAACACUCAUUUUCUUCUCAGGGAACCGAGGUUACGUCAGUAACCAGAGCAUUUUAUUCUCAUGUCUCAUCCUGAAAACAAGUUCACUUCUGCUGAAAAGGUCCAAUGAAAAACUCCCUCCCAUCUUUAUAAACAUCCAGAAGUGAAAGGAAUUUCAGAGCUGCUGUUCAACACGACAGUUCAGAUCAGGAAAAGAAAAAAAUUCUAAUAUUAUCGGAGCUCUGCCCCUCACCUCUGCCCUGGACUCCUGGUUGGCCACACACAAGAAAAUACAAUUUUGACAAAAGAAAGAAGAACGGAGCAUCUGACUACUGGACCAUCAUCCUGCAGAUUCCCCUCCAAAUUAUUUAAGAAC